GAUGAAAGAUGGUGGCGUGCCUAAUACAUGCAAGUCGAGCGAACAGACGAGGAGCUUGCUCCUCUGACGUUAGCGGCGGACGGGUGAGUAACACGUGGAUAACCUACCUAUAAGACUGGGAUAACUUCGGGAAACCGGAGCUAAUACCGGAUAAUAUAUUGAACCGCAUGGUUCAAUAGUGAAAGACGGUUUUGCUGUCACUUAUAGAUGGAUCCGCGCCGCAUUAGCUAGUUGGUAAGGUAACGGCUUACCAAGGCGACGAUGCGUAGCCGACCUGAGAGGGUGAUCGGCCACACUGGAACUGAGACACGGUCCAGACUCCUACGGGAGGCAGCAGUAGGGAAUCUUCCGCAAAGGGCGAAAGCCUGACGGAGCAACGCCGCGUGAGUGAUGAAGGUCUUCGGAUCGUAAAACUCUGUUAUUAGGGAAGAACAAAUGUGUAAGUAACUAUGCACGUCUUGACGGUACCUAAUCAGAAAGCCACGGCUAACUACGUG
This 497-nucleotide ribosomal RNA is filed under the name uncultured bacterium. RNAcentral's name for it is "partial 16S ribosomal RNA". It matches the Rfam family "Bacterial small subunit ribosomal RNA", at positions 28 to 507 of the family's 1533-position model. The record is from RNAcentral.